This 555-nucleotide ribosomal RNA is filed under the name Salmonella enterica subsp. enterica serovar Enteritidis. RNAcentral describes it as "partial 23S ribosomal RNA". It matches the Rfam family "Bacterial large subunit ribosomal RNA", at positions 1 to 586 of the family's 2925-position model. The record is from RNAcentral. Lineage: Bacteria; Pseudomonadati; Pseudomonadota; Gammaproteobacteria; Enterobacterales; Enterobacteriaceae.
GGGUUGUGAGGUUAAGCGACUAAGCGUACACGGUGGAUGCCCUGGCAGUCAGAGGCGAUGAAGGGCGUGCUAAUCUGCGAUAAGCGCCGGUAAGGUGAUAUGAACCGUUAUAACCGGCGAUACCCGAAUGGGGAAACCCAGUGUGAUUCGUCACACUAUCAUUAACUGAAUCCAUAGGUUAAUGAGGCGAACCGGGGGAACUGAAACAUCUAAGUACCCCGAGGAAAAGAAAUCAACCGAGAUUCCCCCAGUAGCGGCGAGCGAACGGGGAGGAGCCCAGAGCCUGAAUCAGCAUGUGUGUUAGUGGAAGCGUCUGGAAAGGCGCGCGAUACAGGGUGACAGCCCCGUACACAAAAGCGCAUGUGCUGUGAGCUCGAUGAGUAGGGCGGGACACGUGGUAUCCUGUCUGAAUAUGGGGGGACCAUCCUCCAAGGCUAAAUACUCCUGACUGACCGAUAGUGAACCAGUACCGUGAGGGAAAGGCGAAAAGAACCCCGGCGAGGGGAGUGAAAAAGAACCUGAAACCGUGUACGUACAAGCAGUGGGAGCAAAGAA